UUAAGCGAUUACUGGUGUGAAUUGCAGAAUCCCGUGAACCAUCGAGUCUUUGACGCAAGUUGCGCCCGAAGCCAUUAGGCUGAGGGCACGUCUGCCUGGGUGUCA
This 105-nucleotide ribosomal RNA is filed under the name Conioselinum acuminatum. Its description in RNAcentral is "Ligusticum acuminatum partial 5.8S ribosomal RNA". It matches the Rfam family "5.8S ribosomal RNA", at positions 51 to 154 of the family's 154-position model. From Rfam's summary of the family: 5.8S ribosomal RNA (5.8S rRNA) is a component of the large subunit of the eukaryotic ribosome. It is transcribed by RNA polymerase I as part of the 45S precursor that also contains 18S and 28S rRNA. The record is from RNAcentral. Lineage: Eukaryota; Viridiplantae; Streptophyta; Magnoliopsida; Apiales; Apiaceae.